Molecule: ribosomal RNA, 1548 nt
Filed under: Platypelis tuberifera (Ambatoharanana giant treefrog)
Lineage: Eukaryota; Metazoa; Chordata; Amphibia; Anura; Microhylidae
Description: 16S ribosomal RNA
Rfam family: Bacterial large subunit ribosomal RNA
Source: RNAcentral
GCCUAAAUCCUAGCCCUACCAACACUUCAACUUUACUCUCAUAAAAUAAAUCAUUCUCCCCAUUAAGUAACGGCGAUUAAAAAAUAAUUAGGAGCCAUAAAAAUAGUACCGCAAGGGAAAUAUGAAAUAAAAUGAAAAACCUAAAGCACACAACAGCAAAGCUUUAACCUUGUACCUUUUGCAUCAUGAUCCAGCUAGUCUAACCAAGCAAAACGCACUUAAAGUUUGACUCCCCGAAACUAAGCGAGCUACUCCAGAGCAACUAACAGAACCAACCCGUCCCUGUUGCAAAAGGGUGGGAAGACUUUAGAGUAGAAGUGACACACCUAUCGAGCUUAGAGAUAGCUGGUUAUUCAAGAAAAGGAUUUUAGUCCAUCUUUAAGCUUUUCAAGUAUCAUUAAACACCCAAUAAACUUAAAAGUUAUUCAAAUAAGGGACAGCCUAUUUGAAAAAGGAUACAACCUACAAUCUAGGGUAACGAACCCCCCCCCCGUGGCCAAGUCAGCCUAAAAGCAGCUAACUUCCAAAAAGCGUCCAAGCUUCACCACAAACCCUUAUUAAUUCCACAAUUAAUCCGUAACCCACAACCACUACCGAAUAAUCUCAUACUAUAUGAGAACUAUUAUGCUAGAACUAGUAACAAGAAGAAGAACUUCUCCAAAAUGUAAACGUAAGCCAAAAUGAACAUCCACCGGCAUUUACCGCCAAACAGUAUUAACAUUACAAGAAAAUUAUACUACAACUGACGUUAACCUUACACUAGAACAUUUCCAGAAAGAUUUAAAAAGGAGGAAGGAACUCGGCAAAUAUUAGCCCCGCCUGUUUACCAAAAACAUCGCCUCUUGACAAAAUAUAAGAGGUCUAGCCUGCCCGGUGACUCACGUUAAACGGCCGCGGUACCCUAACCGUGCGAAGGUAGCACAAUCACUUGUUCUUUAAAUUAGGACCAGUAUGAAUGGCCUCACGAGAGCUAUACUGUCUCCCCCCUUUAAUCAAUGAAACUGAUCCCCUCGUGAAGAAGCGAGGAUAAUCCUAUAAGACGAGAAGACCCCAUGGAGCUUUAAACUUAUGUCACUGACCCACAUAAACCAAUAAACUUGGACAAAUAUGACUACAAGUCUUUCGGCUGGGGCGACCACGGAGAAAAACUAAACCUCCAUGAUGAAAGGAGCAAUCCUAAUCAAAGAGCUACUGCUCAACGAAUCAAUAAACUGACACAUUGACCCAAACAUUUUGAUCAACGAACCAAGUUACCCUGGGGAUAACAGCGCAAUCCAUUUCAAGAGACCCCAUCAACAAAUGGGCUUACGACCUCGAUGUUGGAUCAGGGUAUCCCAGUGGUGCAGCCGCUACUAAAGGUUCGUUUGUUCAACGAUUAAAACCCUACGUGAUCUGAGUUCAGACCGGAGUAAUCCAGGUCAGUUUCUAUCUAUAAAGAGUUUUCCCUAGUACGAAAGGACCGAGAAAACAUGGCCAAUACCUUAACAAGCCAUAAUAACACUAAUGACCUCUACUUAAUUAGCAAGCUAUUAACUUUUUCAAGAUAAG